RNAcentral lists this transfer RNA (72 nucleotides) under Acidithrix ferrooxidans. It matches the Rfam family "tRNA". From Rfam's summary of the family: Transfer RNA (tRNA) molecules are approximately 80 nucleotides in length. The record is from Rfam by way of RNAcentral. RNAcentral also lists the same sequence under 1 other name. Lineage: Bacteria; Bacillati; Actinomycetota; Acidimicrobiia; Acidimicrobiales; Acidimicrobiaceae.
GCCCUCGUAGCUCAGGGGAUAGAGCACCGGCCUCCGGAGCCGGUGGCGCAGGUUCGAAUCCUGCCGAGGGCG